Non-coding RNA from Paramuricea clavata, 400 nucleotides. The record is from the annotation of a GenBank genome assembly. NCBI's taxonomy places the organism in Eukaryota, Metazoa, Cnidaria, Anthozoa, Malacalcyonacea, Plexauridae.
AAAAAAAUUAUGAAAUGAACGGAUUUGUGAAAUUGAGAUCCGUUUUAAAAUUGUCUACUUUACUUUUUUUUCCACCCUGACCCUGUAGUUUCAUUUGUCAGAUUUAUGUAACAGUUCCAAAGAAGUUAAUUUGCUGGAUAAGGUAAGCAACUAUUCCGAACAUACAUAGACUACAUAGUCUACAUAGUCAGAGUAAUGAUACUAAAUGGGACCUUUCCUGGGUGUUAAGAGAGGGGCCUGUACCGGUUUUGCGGGAUGCGUCUAAAAUUCAAGUGGGAUUCAGGAUUUUGAGAGAAAUAUUGGCGGGAAGCGGGAUUUUAUUCCAUCGCGGGAAGUGGGAUUAAUCAAAAUACCAUGGCGAUAUGCGGAAAUUAACUCACGAUUAGCGGGAUAAAUCAAC